CCUCAAGCCACACAGUGGUGGUUUUCCUUGUACCAGGCAUGUUGUCAUUCAGGGAAGAAGGAAAACUGCUACAGAAUAAAACCCAGAACAAGAACAGCACCAAGGGGAGCUGUGUGCAAGAAAUUCCUUCAGGGUGCAGCACGCUCCAGUAAUGACCAACAAGCUUGCAACUCUUACCUGCAAGGACGGGUGAACGCAGAUGCCUGGCUAGAUGUGGACUUAGGACAAGGCCAGGGAAGGGACCGUCCACGCCGGCUGCCUGGGGAAGGCUGGGUCCUGAGGUGUGCUCCAAAGGAAGAAAGCUCUCUUCGCUGUUCACUGUCAGUCAAAAACAAGUUGGUGCAAGUUGGAGUAGGAUUUACCUGAAGGAGCUGAAGAGAGGGAGAAGGAGACUGGGGGAGAUUGGGCGAAGGGAGGGAGCGACGGGCAAGGAGGGAGGGAGGGAGGGAAGGAGAGAAAAGUGAGAGAGAGAGAGAGAGAGAGAGAGAGAGAGAGGGGAAUCUGAGAAAGGAGGCCAUGAUGUCAGCAGUGUGUCUUAAGGGGAUCUACAGACCAGCAAGGUUCUGAGGGCCACCCAGUCCUGCAUCCUCCAGACACCUGCGUGAAAGAAGGCCAAUGCCCUCUUAAAGGAGGCCGGUUAAUCUUUAAGAAACUCUGGCCCCUCUUAUCAAAGCCCUUGCAAAGGUCCCUUUGCGGAAAUAAACUAUAAAUAAAUAACCGGGUUAUCUUUUCU
RNAcentral lists this long non-coding RNA (733 nucleotides) under Bos mutus (wild yak). RNAcentral describes it as "lncRNA (ENSBMUG00000005221.1)". Lineage: Eukaryota; Metazoa; Chordata; Mammalia; Artiodactyla; Bovidae. The record is from RNAcentral.